AUUUAAGACACUUAAGAAAAGCCCCAUGUGGGUUCUCCCAGUUUAGAGCUGGGAAUGAAUACUAUAUUAAUUGUGCAAACUGGUUGUAAAAGUAUCUUGCGCAACACAUGCUUGACUGUAGUCCCUUGACGCAUGGUGUAUUCACCCAUUUUUCUGAAUGUCAAGGACAUACUGAACCAUAAAUGAACAACGGUAUGUUUGCUAACCUGUUAGGUUAAAAUGUAGUUAGCUAAAGUUCAAUAAGUCAUGUGAAAACACCCAACACCUUCCUCUACGAGUAAAAUGCUAUUACUCCGGAUGUUCUAGAUCGCUUUAUCGCAAAGGCGAGGGAGUAUUACUUGAUUACGUCAUCAACGUGCGCCACAGAGUCGUGCGUGUGAGAUACCGUACGUCCUGUAAGGGGAAGAGGCCGUCAUAGUAGAUUUAUUUUGAAGAAACCACUUCGUUUGAACAGGUCUAGUCCGGAUUUUUUUUGUCCCUUUCCGAUAUUUUUCCUCAAUUCACAUUUUCUUUUGACGCUUCGAGUAAAACCUCAUAGAUCAAGCCACGACCGCAGAAUAUGGAAACUGAAGAAGAUGCUCCCCCUCCAAAGCAGCAGCCUAUGAUAUACAUCUGCGGAGAUUGCCACAAAGAAAAUGAGAUAAAAGCAAGAGAUCCUAUCAGAUGCAGAGAGUGUGGUUACAGAAUAAUGUAUAAGAAAAGAACAAAAAGAUUAGUUGUAUUUGAUGCCCGAUGAAGAGAACAGAAGAUGCAUCUAAUUGAUCUGAAUUCAUGUCCAUUCUAUGUUGAUUUUAUUUAAGCAAAUACUCCAAUUUUGGUUCUUGCAAUAAAAUUUUAUUCAAAUA
Molecule: long non-coding RNA, 845 nt
Organism: Ahaetulla prasina
Lineage: Eukaryota; Metazoa; Chordata; Lepidosauria; Squamata; Colubridae
Exons: 5
Source: RefSeq, a predicted model, not a curated record